UACGAAGGGGGCUAGCGUUGCUCGGAAUUACUGGGCGUAAAGCGCACGUAGGCGGCUUUCUAAGUCGGGGGUGAAAUCCUGGAGCUCAACUCCAGAACUGCCUUCGAUACUGGAGAGCUUGAGUCCGGGAGAGGUGAGUGGAACUGCGAGUGUAGAGGUGAAAUUCGUAGAUAUUCGCAAGAACACCAGUGGCGAAGGCGGCUCACUGGCCCGGUACUGACGCUGAGGAGCGAAAGCAUGGGGAGCGAACAGG
Molecule: ribosomal RNA, 253 nt
Filed under: uncultured bacterium
Lineage: Bacteria
Description: partial 16S ribosomal RNA
Rfam family: Bacterial small subunit ribosomal RNA
Source: RNAcentral